This 512-nucleotide ribosomal RNA is filed under the name uncultured bacterium. RNAcentral describes it as "bacterial SSU rRNA". It matches the Rfam family "Bacterial small subunit ribosomal RNA", at positions 8 to 513 of the family's 1533-position model. The record is from RNAcentral.
AGAGUUUGAUCAUGGCUCAGAUUGAACGCUGGCGGUAUGCUUUACGCAUGCAAGUCGAACGGCAGCACGGGUGCUUGCACCUGGUGGCGAGUGGCGAACGGGUGAGUAAUAUAUCGGAACAUGUCCGGAAGUGGGGGAUAGCUCGGCGAAAGCCGGAUUAAUACCGCAUAUGCCCUGAGGGGGAAAGGUGGGGAUCGCAAGACCUAUCGCUUUCGGAGUGGCCGAUAUCGGAUUAGCUAGAUGGUGAGGUAAAGGCUUACCAUGGCGACGAUCCGUAGCUGGUCUGAGAGGACGACCAGCCACACUGGAACUGAGACACGGUCCAGACUCCUACGGGAGGCAGCAGUGGGGAAUUUUGGACAGUGGGGGCAACCCUGAUCCAGCCAUACCGCGUGAGUGAAGAAGGCCUUCGGGUUGUAAAGCUCUUUCGGCAGGAAAGAAAUCGUGCGGGUUAAUACCCUGUAUGGAUGACGGUACCUGAAGAAGAAGCACCGGCUAACUACGUGCCAGCA